Molecule: ribosomal RNA, 517 nt
Filed under: uncultured bacterium
Lineage: Bacteria
Description: bacterial SSU rRNA
Rfam family: Bacterial small subunit ribosomal RNA
Source: RNAcentral
AGAACUUAGCAGAGAUGCUUUGGUGCCUUCGGGAACUCUGAGACAGGUGCUGCAUGGCUGUCGUCAGCUCGUGUUGUGAAAUGUUGGGUUAAGUCCCGCAACGAGCGCAACCCUUAUCCUUUGUUGCCAGCGGUUAGGCUGGGAACUCAAAGGAGACUGCCAGUGAUAAACUGGAGGAAGGUGGGGAUGACGUCAAGUCAUCAUGGCCCUUACGAGUAGGGCUACACACGUGCUACAAUGGCGCAUACAAAGAGAAGCGACCUCGCGAGAGCAAGCGGACCUCAUAAAGUGCGUCGUAGUCCGGAUUGGAGUCUGCAACUCGACUCCAUGAAGUCGGAAUCGCUAGUAAUCGUGGAUCAGAAUGCCACGGUGAAUACGUUCCCGGGCCUUGUACACACCGCCCGUCACACCAUGGGAGUGGGUUGCAAAAGAAGUAGGUAGCUUAACCUUCGGGAGGGCGCUUACCACUUUGUGAUUCAUGACUGGGGUGAAGUCGUAACAAGGUAGGCGUAGUGCU